AACGAACGCUGGCGGCAUGCCUAACACAUGCAAGUCGAACGAGACCUUCGGGUCUAGUGGCGCACGGGUUCGUAACGCGUGGGAACCUUCCCUUAUGUUCGGAAUAACUCCCCGAAAGGGGUGCUAAUACCGGAUAAUGUCUUCGGACCAAAGAUUUAUCGCCUUUGGAUGGGCCCGCGUUGGAUUAGCUCGUUGGGAGGGUAAAAGCCUACCAAGGCGACGAUUCACAGCUGGGAUGAGAGGAUGAUCAGCCACACUGGGACUGAGAAACGGCCCAGACUCUUACGGGAGGGAGCAGUGGGGAAUAUUGGAAAAUGGGCGAAAGCCUGAUGCAGCAAGGACGGGUGAGUGAUGAAGGCCUUAGGGUUGUAAAGCUCUUUUACCCGUGAUGAUAAUGACAGUACCGGGAGAAUAAGCCCCGGCUAACUACGUG
Molecule: ribosomal RNA, 433 nt
Filed under: uncultured bacterium
Lineage: Bacteria
Description: partial 16S ribosomal RNA
Rfam family: Bacterial small subunit ribosomal RNA
Source: RNAcentral